Molecule: long non-coding RNA, 266 nt
Filed under: Brachypodium distachyon (stiff brome)
Lineage: Eukaryota; Viridiplantae; Streptophyta; Magnoliopsida; Poales; Poaceae
Description: long non-coding RNA (BDIS_LNC005152)
Source: RNAcentral
UUUUUUUUAUUUCCCUGCAAGUGGCGCAUGGCGCCUUAGAACUUUUUAUGUUAGCUUUCCCUUGUCAUUAUCAGUGUUACUCGUCAACUUGUUUUUCCCAAGUUUUAAUAUAUAUCCGAUACCAUUUUCACUUGCUCCUUUGCCUAAAACUAACUUGCCGGGGAGGGGCUCUAUCAUUCUCGUGUUUUAGCCUUGCGUACCCGGGAACUCGCCAACCACGUGCUUGGCCAGACUAGGGACCCGGGACGGACCCGCGGUGCCGACCU